RNAcentral lists this ribosomal RNA (1493 nucleotides) under uncultured bacterium. RNAcentral's name for it is "bacterial SSU rRNA". It matches the Rfam family "Bacterial small subunit ribosomal RNA". The record is from RNAcentral.
AGAGUUUGAUCAUGGCUCAGAUUGAACGCUGGCGGCAUGCUUUACACAUGCAAGUCGAACGGCAGCGCGGGGCAACCUGGCGGCGAGUGGCGAACGGGUGAGUAAUAUAUCGGAACGUACCCAAGAGUGGGGGAUAACGUAGCGAAAGUUACGCUAAUACCGCAUACGAUCUAAGGAUGAAAGCAGGGGACCGCAAGGCCUUGUGCUCCUGGAGCGGCCGAUAUCUGAUUAGCUAGUUGGUAGGGUAAAGGCCUACCAAGGCUACGAUCAGUAGCUGGUCUGAGAGGACGACCAGCCACACUGGAACUGAGACACGGUCCAGACUCCUACGGGAGGCAGCAGUGGGGAAUUUUGGACAAUGGGCGCAAGCCUGAUCCAGCAAUGCCGCGUGAGUGAAGAAGGCCUUCGGGUUGUAAAGCUCUUUUGUCAGGGAAGAAACGGUGGGAGCUAAUAUCUCUUACUAAUGACGGUACCUGAAGAAUAAGCACCGGCUAACUACGUGCCAGCAGCCGCGGUAAUACGUAGGGUGCAAGCGUUAAUCGGAAUUACUGGGCGUAAAGCGUGCGCAGGCGGUUUUGUAAGUCUGAUGUGAAAUCCCCGGGCUCAACCUGGGAAUUGCAUUGGAGACUGCAAGGCUAGAAUCUGGCAGAGGGGGGUAGAAUUCCACGUGUAGCAGUGAAAUGCGUAGAGAUGUGGAGGAACACCGAUGGCGAAGGCAGCCCCCUGGGUCAAGAUUGACGCUCAUGCACGAAAGCGUGGGGAGCAAACAGGAUUAGAUACCCUGGUAGUCCACGCCCUAAACGAUGUCUACUAGUUGUCGGGUUUUAAUUAACUUGGUAACGCAGCUAACGCGUGAAGUAGACCGCCUGGGGAGUACGGUCGCAAGAUUAAAACUCAAAGGAAUUGACGGGGACCCGCACAAGCGGUGGAUGAUGUGGAUUAAUUCGAUGCAACGCGAAAAACCUUACCUACCCUUGACAUGUACGGAAGCCACGAGAGAUCGAGGUGUGCUCGAAAGAGAACCGUAACACAGGUGCUGCAUGGCUGUCGUCAGCUCGUGUCGUGAGAUGUUGGGUUAAGUCCCGCAACGAGCGCAACCCUUGUCAUUAGUUGCUACGAAAGAGCACUCUAAUGAGACUGCCGGUGACAAACCGGAGGAAGGUGGGGAUGACGUCAAGUCCUCAUGGCCCUUAUGGGUAGGGCUUCACACGUCAUACAAUGGUACAUACAGAGGGCCGCCAACCCGCGAGGGGGAGCUAAUCCCAGAAAGUGUAUCGUAGUCCGGAUUGUAGUCUGCAACUCGACUACAUGAAGUUGGAAUCGCUAGUAAUCGCGGAUCAGCAUGUCGCGGUGAAUACGUUCCCGGGUCUUGUACACACCGCCCGUCACACCAUGGGAGCGGGUUUUACCAGAAGUAGGUAGCUUAACCGCAAGGAGGGCGCUUACCACGGUAGGAUUCGUGACUGGGGUGAAGUCGUAACAAGGUAACCGUA